GUGGGGAAUUUUGGACAAUGGGGGCAACCCUGAUCCAGCCAUCCCGCGUGUGCGAUGAAGGCCUUCGGGUUGUAAAGCACUUUUGGCAGGGAAGAAACGGCCUGAGAUAAUACCUUGGGCUAAUGACGGUACCUGCAGAAUAAGCACCGGCUAACUACGUGCCAGCAGCCGCGGUAAUACGUAGGGUGCAAGCGUUAAUCGGAAUUACUGGGCGUAAAGCGUGCGCAGGCGGUUCGGAAAGAAAGGUGUGAAAUCCCAGGGCUUAACCUUGGAACUGCACUUUUAACUACCGGGCUAGAGUACGUCAGAGGGGGGUAGAAUUCCACGUGUAGCAGUGAAAUGCGUAGAGAUGUGGAGGAAUACCGAUGGCGAAGGCAGCCCCCUGGGAUGAUACUGACGCUCAUGCACGAAAGCGUGGGGAGCAAACAGGAUUAGAAACCCUAGUAGUCC
RNAcentral lists this ribosomal RNA (450 nucleotides) under uncultured bacterium. RNAcentral describes it as "bacterial SSU rRNA". It matches the Rfam family "Bacterial small subunit ribosomal RNA", at positions 354 to 796 of the family's 1533-position model. The record is from RNAcentral.